Molecule: ribosomal RNA, 253 nt
Filed under: uncultured bacterium
Lineage: Bacteria
Description: partial 16S ribosomal RNA
Rfam family: Bacterial small subunit ribosomal RNA
Source: RNAcentral
UACAGAGGUGGCAAGCGUUGUUCGGAAUUACUGGGCGUAAAGGGCGAGUAGGUGGCCAUCUAAGUCAGACGUGAAAUCCCCAGGCUUAACCUGGGAACUGCAUCCGAUACUGGAUGGCUUGAAUCCGGGAGAGGGAUGCGGAAUUCCAGGUGUAGCGGUGAAAUGCGUAGAUAUCUGGAGGAACACCGGUGGCGAAGGCGGCAUCCUGGACCGGCAUUGACGCUGAGGAGCGAAAGCGUGGGGAGCAAACAGG